CAGCAGCCGCGGGAAUACGAAGGGGGCUAGCGUUGCUCGGAAUGACUGGGCGUAAAGGGCGCGUAGGCGGUUUUGACAGUCAGAUGUGAAAUUCCUGGGCUUAACCUGGGGGCUGCAUUUGAGACGUCAAGACUAGAGUGUGAGAGAGGGUUGUGGAAUUCCCAGUGUAGAGGUGAAAUUCGUAGAUAUUGGGAAGAACACCGGUGGCGAAGGCGGCGACCUGGUCCUUGACUGACGCUGAGGCGCGAAAGCGUGGGGAGCAAACAGGAUUAGAUACCCCUGUAGUCCCUGUCUCUUAUAC
This 301-nucleotide ribosomal RNA is filed under the name uncultured bacterium. RNAcentral's name for it is "partial 16S ribosomal RNA". It matches the Rfam family "Bacterial small subunit ribosomal RNA", at positions 509 to 807 of the family's 1533-position model. The record is from RNAcentral.